ACGUUGUCAGUUUGAAGACGGCGACGAUGAAAUGUUCCGACGCUGGUGGAUGUGGCUGCGGCCGAUUAGGUAGAUGGUGGGGUAACGGCCCACCAUGCCGAUAAUCGGUACGGGUUGUGAGAGCAAGAGCCCGGAGACGGAAUCUGAGACAAGAUUCCGGGCCCUACGGGGCGCAGCAGGCGCGAAACCUUUACACUGCACGCCAGUACGAUAAGGGAACCCCGAGUGAAAGGGCAUAUCGCCCUUUCUUUUCUGAACCGUAGGGAGGUUCAGGAACAAGAGCUGGGCAAGACCGGUGCCAGCCGCCGCGGUAAUACCGGCAGCUCAAGUGAUGACCGAUUUUAUUGGGCCUAAAGCGUCCGUAGCUGGCCAUGCAAGUCCGUCGGGAAAUCCACCCGCUUAACGGGUGGGCGUCCGGCGGAAACUGCACGGCUUGGGACAGGAAGGCUCGAGGGGUACGUUCGGGGUAGGAGUGAAAUCCCGUAAUCCUGAACGGACCACCGAUGGCGAAAGCACCUCGAGAGGACUGAUCCGACAGUGAGGGACGAAAGCUGGGGUCUCGAACCGGAUUAGAUACCCGGGUAGUCCCAGCUGUAAACGAUGUUCGCUAGGUGUGUCACUCACUACGAGUGAGUGAUGUGCCGCAGGGAAGCCGCUAAGCGAACCGCCUGGGAAGUACGUCUGCAAGGAUGAAACUUAA
RNAcentral lists this ribosomal RNA (700 nucleotides) under uncultured archaeon. Its description in RNAcentral is "bacterial SSU rRNA". It matches the Rfam family "Archaeal small subunit ribosomal RNA", at positions 156 to 859 of the family's 1478-position model. The record is from RNAcentral.